GUACACGCUGUGACUAGCAUAUCAAUAAGCGGAGGAAAAGAAACUAACAAGGAUUCCCCUAGUAACGGCGAGUGAAGCGGGAAGAGCUCAAAUUUGAAAUCUUAAAGGGUUUCCCUUUACGAAUUGUAGUUUAAAGAAGUGUUUUCUGUUGAGGUUUUGGUAAAAGUUCUUUGGAAUAGGACAUCAUAGAGGGUGAGAAUCCCGUAUUUGACCUUUACUUUCAACUUUGUGAUACACUUUCAAAGAGUCGGAUUGUUUGGGAAUGCAGUCCAAAAUGGGUGGUAAAUUUCAUCUAAAGCUAAAUAUUGGCGAGAGACCGAUAGCGAACAAGUACCGUGAGGGAAAGAUGAAAAGAACUUUGAAAAGAGAGUUAAACAGUACGUGAAAUUGUCAAAAGGGAAGCGUUUGACACCAGUGUUGUUUUUCUGAAAAUCAAUUAAAGAACUGUCUAUGCUAAGUUGUUUAGACUUUAUCAGCUAACUGUUUAGUUUUGAGCUUUUCUUUAAUGCACUUUUCAGUUAACAAGUCAACAUCAAUUUCUUUUGCUGUAAAAAAGCUUGAGGAAGGUGGCUUGAGAUUCGUCUUAAGUGUUUAUAGCCUCUUGCCUAUGCAGUCGGAGAGAUUGAGGUCUGCAGCGUAGAUCCUUCGGGGCUAAAUGCAUUUGUGCUAAGUUAUAGCAUUUUAUAGACAACUUGUUGACUAUGAUUUGUCUUGUAGCUUACUCGCCUAUGUUAUUUUACCUACGCUUAGGAUGUUGAGUCGUAGAGCACGCAG
Molecule: ribosomal RNA, 774 nt
Filed under: uncultured Neocallimastigales
Lineage: Eukaryota; Fungi; Neocallimastigomycota; Neocallimastigomycetes; Neocallimastigales
Description: partial large subunit ribosomal RNA
Rfam family: Eukaryotic large subunit ribosomal RNA
Source: RNAcentral